AACGAACGCUGGCGGCGUGGAUUAGGCAUGCAAGUCGAACGUGAAAGGGGCUUCGGCCCUGAGUAAAGUGGCAAACGGGUGAGUAACGCGUGGAGAACCUGCCCGGAAGCGGGGGAUAACACCUCUAACGAGGUGCUAAUACCGCAUGUGUCUGCGUGAGCGCAUGCUCGCGCAGGUAAACGUGGCCUCUGCUCGCAAGCUACGGCUUCCGGAUGGCUCUGCGCUCAUUAGCUAGUUGGUGGGGUAACGGCUCACCAAGGCGACGAUGGGUAGCUGGUCUGAGAGGAUGGUCAGCCACACUGGGACUGAGAUACGGCCCAGACUCCUACGGGAGGCAGCAGUCGAGAGGCUUCCGCAAUGGGGAAACCCUGACGGAGCGACGCCGCGUGAGCGAUGAAGGCC
RNAcentral lists this ribosomal RNA (402 nucleotides) under uncultured bacterium. RNAcentral describes it as "bacterial SSU rRNA". It matches the Rfam family "Bacterial small subunit ribosomal RNA", at positions 28 to 416 of the family's 1533-position model. The record is from RNAcentral.